Caenorhabditis elegans is the source of this 215-nucleotide non-coding RNA. The record is from Ensembl. NCBI's taxonomy places the organism in Eukaryota, Metazoa, Nematoda, Chromadorea, Rhabditida, Rhabditidae.
AAGUUUGCAUGUACUUUUCCGCCAUCGCCCUCCCUCUAUACCUUGUCCUGCGUCUCAGUGUAAACCGUAUGGGGCGGGGCACCUUCUCCUUCGGGGCGACCCGGUCGUACCGCCCCCACCAUUUUCACCUACAGGGUUUGAUAUUCAGAUACUAAUGUCGAUAUGUAGUGAGAUGGUGUACCUACCAUCUCAACAGGUUUCCGCUAAUCUUCCCA